GCCAAGUAUGCCUGACUCGCUAUAAAAGGGGCUGCUUGCCCCCUCUUCGCUCUCUUACUCUCUCUUCUCUUUCUCCUCUUCUCUUGCUCUUGCUCUCUUGCCCUCUUCCCCUCUUCCCUUUGUCCCUUCUCUUCCCAUUCCCCUACCUCUUCCCUCCACGCGCUUAUGGCCGGCCUUUACUCCUCUCCUCUUCUCCUCUCCUUCUCUCAUUAAACCUUUCCAUGUAGAACCAUGUUGACCCAUUGUGGUUUGUCCAGACGUGAGCCAAGAUUUCUACCCCAACAGCUUGUCCCAGGAUAGAAACAAGAAACACAAAACAUACAAGACUUGGGCAUACCUGGAGGAUAGAGAGAGGAGGUGCAGUCCAUGGAUCUUACCUCCUCCUUAAACAGCUGUGGAAAUGCCUUCAUAGACUUACCAAGGAGAUGUCUCCUAGUCAUUCUAAAUCCAGUCAACUUGACAAUGAAUAGCGAAUGUCACCAUUCCUGAGACAAGAGAUGAGCAAGAGAAUAAAGUUUGAGCAGCAGGAACUUGAA
Rattus norvegicus (Norway rat) is the source of this 536-nucleotide non-coding RNA. The record is from RefSeq and is a predicted model, not a curated record. Lineage: Eukaryota; Metazoa; Chordata; Mammalia; Rodentia; Muridae.